Molecule: ribosomal RNA, 447 nt
Filed under: uncultured bacterium
Lineage: Bacteria
Description: partial 16S ribosomal RNA
Rfam family: Bacterial small subunit ribosomal RNA
Source: RNAcentral
AACGAACGCUGGCGGCAGGCUUAACACACGCAAGUCGAACGCAUCGCAAGAUGAGUGGCAGACGGGUGAGUAACGCGUGGGAAUCUAACUAGUUCUACGGAACAACAGUUGGAAACGACUGCUAAUACCGUAUACGCACUACGGGGGAAAGAUUUAUCGGAAUUAGAUGAGCCCGCGUAAGAUUAGCUAGUUGGUGGGGUAAUGGCCUACCAAGGCGACGAUCUUUAGCUGGUCUGAGAGGAUGAUCAGCCACACUGGGACUGAGACACGGCCCAGACUCCUACGGGAGGCAGCAGUGGGGAAUAUUGGACAAUGGGCGCAAGCCUGAUCCAGCCAUGCCGCGUGAGUGAUGAAGGCCUUAGGGUUGUAAAGCUCUUUCACCGAUGAAGAUAAUGACGGUAGUCGGAGAAGAAGCCCCGGCUAACUUCGCGCCAGCCGCCGCGGUAA